RNAcentral lists this ribosomal RNA (253 nucleotides) under uncultured bacterium. RNAcentral's name for it is "partial 16S ribosomal RNA". It matches the Rfam family "Bacterial small subunit ribosomal RNA", at positions 524 to 776 of the family's 1533-position model. The record is from RNAcentral.
UACGUAGGGGGCAAGCGUUGUCCGGAAUCAUUGGGCGUAAAGCGCGCGCAGGUGGUUUCUUAAGUCUGAUGUGAAAGCCCACGGCUCAACCGUGGAGGGUCAUUGGAAACUGGGGAACUUGAGUGCAGAAGAGGAAAGUGGAAUUCCAAGUGUAGCGGUGAAAUGCGUAGAGAUUUGGAGGAACACCAGUGGCGAAGGCGACUUUCUGGUCUGUAACUGACACUGAGGCGCGAAAGCGUGGGGAGCGAACAGG